This 397-nucleotide ribosomal RNA is filed under the name uncultured bacterium. RNAcentral's name for it is "partial 16S ribosomal RNA". It matches the Rfam family "Bacterial small subunit ribosomal RNA", at positions 523 to 918 of the family's 1533-position model. The record is from RNAcentral.
AUACGUAGGUGACAAGCGUUAUCCGGAUUUACUGGGCGUAAAGGGCGUGUAGGCGGUCUUGCAAGUCAGAAGUGAAAUUCCUGAGCUCAACUCGGGCGCUGCUUCUGAAACUGGAAGACUUGAGUGCAGGAGAGGAAAGUGGACUUCUCAGUGUAGCGGUGAAAUGCGUAGAUAUUGAGAAGAAAACCAGUAGCGAAGGCGGCUUUCUGGACUGUAACUGACACUGAGGCACGAAAGCGUGGGUAGCAAACAGGAUUAGAUACCCUGGUAGUCCACACUGUAAACGAUGAAUGCUAGGUGUAGGGGGUAUCGACCCCUUCUGUGCCGCAGUCAACACAAUAAGCAUUCCGCCUGGGGAGUACGGCCGCAAGGUUGAAACUCAAAGGAAUUGACGGGG